CAUGCAGUACUUCAUAGAAUCAUUUCUAUAGUAAACAUUCACAACUGUAUUCUUGUAAGCGAUCCCGACAACCGAUCAAGCGACAUCCUUUACUGACAACCUCCAAGCACAGAAGCUACAGACUUCAGCCAGGCUGAUGAGCAAUAACCGCGCCGCCCAAGAGUGAUGCCAUUAUGGCGGUCUCCGGACUGCUGGUGAUGAUCUCGCCCUGCUUGAACUUGACUUCGGUUGGUGCUCUCAGGUGGGUGGUGUCGGUCGUCUGACUGGU
Non-coding RNA from Dothistroma septosporum NZE10, 268 nucleotides. The record is from Rfam. NCBI's taxonomy places the organism in Eukaryota, Fungi, Ascomycota, Dothideomycetes, Mycosphaerellales, Mycosphaerellaceae.